Molecule: non-coding RNA, 1073 nt
Organism: Malus domestica (apple)
Lineage: Eukaryota; Viridiplantae; Streptophyta; Magnoliopsida; Rosales; Rosaceae
Source: RefSeq, a predicted model, not a curated record
CCUCUCGAAUGGUUUCUGCACUCUCUCCUCUCCUCCUCCGCUCUGUCAACAGAUUCAACACCUCUCUAAUCUCUCGAAUCGUCCCUGCACUCUCUACUCUCCUCCUCCUCCUCCUCCCUCUGCCGACAGACUCAACACGUUGGCCGUCGAGUCAUCGACCACCACACUUCUAUGAGUCCUCCAUAUUCCAGAUCCAGACUUCCACGGUUUCCCUCCAUCUCCUACCACAACCCCUAAAUCGAAGCUUCUCUGAUCUGAAGAAGGCCUUUUUUUUUUGGACUUGAUUGUCUGCCCAUCCAUUUUGGUGCUCAUCUCGUUUUUUUUUUUAAGCCACGGAGGACAGAAAGCAGAAAAUCCGAGUCUUUUACACUCAGAGUCAGAGUCGGUCGGCGUGCGUGAAUGAAACAGUAUUAGAGAAGAAUGGAUGCAAUAAAAGUAAACAACUCUAAAUUCCCAACCAAGUGUCUUCGUCCUUCCUUUCAAUUCUCAUUUAAACUCUAAAUUUGUGUGGUUUGUUAUCCAAUUUAAUUAUCGUACUCAAGCAUCCCCGUUGCGGCCGUUCAACCUCCCCAUCAGCUCCUUCAAUUUGUCACGGACAUAAAGAACAGCGUCAGUAGACAGAGUUUUUAGGGUUUGGUAGGACUUGGUCACAAUUAUCACAAAAUAUACGACCCAACAUGCAAGAGUAAACCAUCCGAAUGCUGGAACGAGGAGGAGCACCAGUAGAACCAACGCAAGAGUUCCACACAAGAGGCUGAUGUUGUUCAUCAAUUCAUACAUGUUUGUACUGUUGGAAGCUGGGAGAAUCUUGACAGUCGCUAAUGCCGCCGUGUAAGCGAAUAAAUCAAUAAUCAACAUCACAACGGUGUUGUGGUUUGUGACAAAUGGUGACGGCAAAUUUCCGGUCGCGUAAAUCACCUGGAGCAGGACUCCUAGCAUUGUGAGGAGAAAGAAUAUACAUUUGUGUACUGCUGGUAGAGAUUUGUACUGACCACCCUCCUCCAUAGUGCUGCUGUAUUAUAAACAACACAAAAUUAAUGAAUGGGAAAAUGAUCUCUGUAGAGUUACUGUAA